RNAcentral lists this ribosomal RNA (431 nucleotides) under uncultured bacterium. RNAcentral describes it as "bacterial SSU rRNA". It matches the Rfam family "Bacterial small subunit ribosomal RNA", at positions 954 to 1392 of the family's 1533-position model. The record is from RNAcentral.
GCAAAACGCGAAGAACCUUACCACCUUUUGACAUGCCUGGACCGCCACAGAGAUGUGGCUUUCCCCUCGGGACGUAGACGACAGGUGCUGCAUGGCGUGUCGUCAGCUCGUGUCGUGAGAUGUUGGGUUAAGGUACCCGCCAACGAGCGCAACCCUACCGCCACUUAGUUUGCCACUCAUUCAGUUGGGUAACGUCUAAUAGGGACGUGCCGAUGCUAAGCCGGAGGAAGGUGGGGAGUGACGUCAAGUCCUCAUGGCCCUUACAGGGUGGGCGUACACACGUGCUACAAUGGCGACUACAGAGGGUUAAUCCUUAAAAGUACGUCUCAGUUCGGAUUGUCCUCUGCAACUCGAGGGCAUGAAGUUGGAAUCGCUAGUAAUCGCGGAUCAGCAUGCCGCGGUGAAUACGUUCCCGGGUCUUGUACACACCG